GGAAGUAAAAGUCGUAACAGGGUUUCCGUAGGUGAACCUGCGGAAGGAUCAUUACAGAGUUCAUGCCCUCACGGGUAGAUCUCCCACCCUUGAAUAUUUAUACCUUAGUUGCUUUGGCAGGCCGUGGAAACACCAUGGGCUCCGGCUUAUGCGUGCCUGCCAGAGGAGACAAACUCUGUUUUUAGUGAUGUCUGAGUACUAUAUAAUAGUUAAAACUUUCAACAACGGAUCUCUUGGUUCUG
Molecule: unclassified non-coding RNA, 242 nt
Filed under: plant metagenome
Description: partial contains small subunit ribosomal RNA, internal transcribed spacer 1, and 5.8S ribosomal RNA
Rfam family: Eukaryotic small subunit ribosomal RNA (bases 1-54)
Source: RNAcentral